This 465-nucleotide ribosomal RNA is filed under the name uncultured bacterium. RNAcentral describes it as "partial 16S ribosomal RNA". It matches the Rfam family "Bacterial small subunit ribosomal RNA", at positions 28 to 507 of the family's 1533-position model. The record is from RNAcentral.
GAUGAACGCUGGCGGCGUGCUUAACACAUGCAAGUCGAACGGAAAGGCUCCUGCUUGCAGGGGUACUCGAGUGGCGAACGGGUGAGUAACACGUGGGUGAUCUGCCCUGCACUUCGGGAUAAGCCUGGGAAACUGGGUCUAAUACCGGAUAGGACGAUGGUUUGGAUGCCAUUGUGGAAAGUUUUUCGGUGUGGGAUGAGCUCGCGGCCUAUCAGCUUGUUGGUGGGGUAAUGGCCUACCAAGGCGUCGACGGGUAGCCGGCCUGAGAGGGUGUACGGCCACAUUGGGACUGAGAUACGGCCCAGACUCCUACGGGAGGCAGCAGUGGGGAAUAUUGCACAAUGGGCGCAAGCCUGAUGCAGCGACGCCGCGUGGGGGAUGACGGCCUUCGGGUUGUGAACUCCUUUCGCUAGGGACGAAGCGCAAGUGACGGUACCUGGAGAAGAAGCACCGGCUAACUACGUG